This 87-nucleotide transfer RNA is filed under the name Planctomycetota bacterium. RNAcentral describes it as "tRNA-Ser". It matches the Rfam family "tRNA". Rfam says of the family: Transfer RNA (tRNA) molecules are approximately 80 nucleotides in length. Lineage: Bacteria; Pseudomonadati; Planctomycetota. The record is from RNAcentral. RNAcentral also lists the same sequence under 1 other name.
GGAGCGGUGUCCGAGUGGCUGAAGGGGCCGCACUGGAAAUGCGGUGUGCGGGUAACUGCACCGAGGGUUCGAAUCCCUCCCGCUCCG